UCCCUGGUGGUCCAGUGGCUAAGACUUUGUGCUACCAAUGCAGGGGGCCUGGGUUCAAACCCUGGUCAGAGAA
RNAcentral lists this transfer RNA (73 nucleotides) under Ovis aries (sheep). It matches the Rfam family "tRNA". Rfam says of the family: Transfer RNA (tRNA) molecules are approximately 80 nucleotides in length. The record is from Rfam by way of RNAcentral. Lineage: Eukaryota; Metazoa; Chordata; Mammalia; Artiodactyla; Bovidae.